Molecule: ribosomal RNA, 472 nt
Filed under: uncultured Campylobacterota bacterium
Lineage: Bacteria; Pseudomonadati; Campylobacterota
Description: bacterial SSU rRNA
Rfam family: Bacterial small subunit ribosomal RNA
Source: RNAcentral
CUUGCUAGGUGGAUUAGUGGCGCACGGGUGAGUAAUAUAUAGAUAACGUGCCUCUUAGUCUGGGAUAGCCAUUGGAAACGAUGAUUAAUACUAGAUACUCCUUCUAACUCUAAUGUUAGUCGGGAAAGUUUUUCGCUAAGAGAUCGGUCUAUAUCCCAUCAGCUAGUUGGUAGUGUAAGAGACUACCAAGGCAAUGACGGGUAGCGGGUUUGAGAGGAUGAUCCGCCACACUGGUACUGAGACACGGACCAGACUCCUACGGGAGGCAGCAGUGAGGAAUAUUGCACAAUGGAGGAAACUCUGAUGCAGCAACGCCGCGUGGAGGAUGACGCAUUUCGGUGUGUAAACUCCUUUUAUAUGUCAAGAAAAUGACGGUAGCAUAUGAAUAAGCACCGGCUAACUCCGUGCCAGCAGCCGCGGUAAUACGGAGGGUGCAAGCGUUAUUCGGAAUCACUGGGCGUAAAGGACGCGU